AGAAUGAACGCUGGCGGCGUGCUUAACACAUGCAAGUCGAGCGAGGCGGAAGGGGCAACUCUUCCAGUCGAGCGGCGGACGGGUGAGUAACACGUGGGCAAUCUGCCCGAAAAUGGGGAAUACCCCAGGGAAACUUGGGAUAAUACCGCAUGUCAUCGCGAUCUCGAGAGAGGAUGCGAUCAAAGGGGGGCCGCAAGGUCUCUCGUUUUCGGAGGAGCCCGCGCCCGAUUAGCUAGUUGGCGGGUAACGGCCCACCAAGGCUUCGAUCGGUA
This 272-nucleotide ribosomal RNA is filed under the name uncultured bacterium. RNAcentral's name for it is "partial small subunit ribosomal RNA". It matches the Rfam family "Bacterial small subunit ribosomal RNA", at positions 26 to 285 of the family's 1533-position model. The record is from RNAcentral.